CGUUCUAUAAUGGUCGAACUGGUUAAGGCAUCGCCGAUUACAAGCGAAGAUGCGGGUUCGAGUCCCGCUGGAACGG
Molecule: non-coding RNA, 76 nt
Organism: Operophtera brumata (winter moth)
Lineage: Eukaryota; Metazoa; Arthropoda; Insecta; Lepidoptera; Geometridae
Source: Rfam